This 583-nucleotide long non-coding RNA is filed under the name Heterocephalus glaber (naked mole-rat). RNAcentral describes it as "lncRNA (ENSHGLG00100037765.1)". Lineage: Eukaryota; Metazoa; Chordata; Mammalia; Rodentia; Bathyergidae. The record is from RNAcentral.
GGGAGAAGGCAGUUGAAGCACUGGUGUCGGGGAGCUGCCGUCAAGCCAGAGCCGCGGAGAAGGAGUUCGCGAAAGCGGCAGUUGGCACCUCUUCCCUCCGCGCUCCCGGCCCCAGCUGAGCGGCACCGCGGCUAGUCUGAGGCGCUCUCCGCGUACUUCCCCAGCCGCGCCGCGAGAUGGUCCUGCGCCCCCGAAGCCCCGCGCCGCCGCCGCCCUCGCGCUGAGGAGGAGUUGAAGGAAAAGAAGAAGAAAGUUACACAAGAAAAGAUAUACAGAAGAGGAGGAGGCAGUGUGGUCCUGGAGUCAGAGAUUGGAGUGAUGUGGCCACAGAGCCAAGCAAAGUUCCUGAUCACCAGACUCUGGAAGAGAGGCAAAAAAUAGAUUCUUUCAUACAGCCUUAGAGGAGAACACGGCCCUGCUGGGUUUAGGAUCUCUAACCUCCAGAACUGUGAGAGAAUAAAUGUCUAAUGUCUUAAGCCACUCAGCAUGUGAUAAUUUGUUAUUCCAUAAGUAAAAACUGUUCAUUAAACCAGAGAUCUGUGUUAUCUUUGCUUUAUAUCAUACAUCUUGACUAUCAGAGACA